RNAcentral lists this ribosomal RNA (301 nucleotides) under uncultured bacterium. RNAcentral's name for it is "partial 16S ribosomal RNA". It matches the Rfam family "Bacterial small subunit ribosomal RNA", at positions 509 to 807 of the family's 1533-position model. The record is from RNAcentral.
CAGCAGCCGCGGUAAUACGGAGGAUCCAAGCGUUAUCCGGAAUCAUUGGGUUUAAAGGGUCCGUAGGCGGUCUUGUAAGUCAGUGGUGAAAGCCCAUCGCUCAACGGUGGAACGGCCAUUGAUACUGCAGGACUUGAAUUAUUGGGAAGUAACUAGAAUAUGUAGUGUAGCGGUGAAAUGCUUAGAGAUUACAUGGAAUACCAAUUGCGAAGGCAGGUUACUACCAAUUGAUUGACGCUGAUGGACGAAAGCGUGGGUAGCGAACAGGAUUAGAUACCCGGGUAGUCCCUGUCUCUUAUAC